AAACACUGGAGGAGAUUGCUGGGUUGUCUGGCUCAGCACUCUGGCACCGAGGGGCACAUCUGCCAGGUAAAAGGUGGCAGAAACUCUGAGGAAGUCCAAUUCGAGAGGCAGGUUCUUCUUGGCUUCAUCCACCAGCCACAUGAAUUCGAAAUCUGGGAAGAGCUGCUUCACAGCCAGGACGAGCACCUGAAAUCCACCGAGCAAGCUGUCAGUCAGCCCAUGGCGCCCGCCAAGGAAGGUACACUUCCUACCCGCUGGCUGGGUCUCCCCUAGAGGACGCGUAGGAGGGGGGACUGUUUUCCUGGCCUCUGUCCCUAUAACUGUACCAAGUCCAAGAUGAUGAGAAGCGAACCGCAUUCAGAAGUAACCCUGGCGACCGUUGGCUAGGUGCUCCCUGGCUGGGUACCCGGCUUUGAGCUGAGCACUCGUGUUCCUCUGAAUCCACACAAUUAUGGGAGACGUGUAGGUACAUGUCAUGUCACUAAUCAGGGCUCUGAGAGUUCCUGUGAUUUUUCCAAAUCUGCCCAGCAGGGAAGCCUGGGGCCAGCUCCAGGUGGGUCUACCAGGCUCCCAAGGCUUUGAUCAAGACAGCUUCCAUAAACAGUGCUUUGGCCACUCCCAGAUUGGUUCUUGCCGGGUGUUUUGUUGUUUGUUUGGGGGACUGGGGACUAAACUUAGGGCUCUGCACAUGGUAGGCAGGCAAGCUCUCAACAACUGACCGAACCCCUAGCCCAGAGUUGUCCUCCAUCAACUUCUAAAGGGUAGAGGAGGUGCUUCUGCUGGAGCUGCGUGGCUGGGACUGAGGCAGUUACCAGACAUGCGCCGAGCCUGUCUGACUCACAGUUCUGAAAUCAGAAAUCUGAAAUCAGAAAUGCCCCAAGAUCUGAAACUUCCUGAAUGCUCGCAUGACGUCACAGAGGGAAACUUCCACACCUGACCUCAUGACGGGCUGCAUUCGAAACGCAAGAGCACUAAAGUUAUUGUAUAAAAUUACCUUCCGGCUACGAGUGUAAAAUGUAUAUGAGACAUAAAUGAAUUCUGUCUUUAGA
Peromyscus eremicus (cactus mouse) is the source of this 1049-nucleotide long non-coding RNA. RefSeq lists it as uncharacterized. The record is from RefSeq and is a predicted model, not a curated record. Lineage: Eukaryota; Metazoa; Chordata; Mammalia; Rodentia; Cricetidae. The transcript has 2 exons.